Gallus gallus (chicken) is the source of this 1348-nucleotide long non-coding RNA. NCBI's taxonomy places the organism in Eukaryota, Metazoa, Chordata, Aves, Galliformes, Phasianidae. The record is from Ensembl.
CUGCUACGGCCCUGUAUGCUAUGCACAGUGACCCACUUCUCCAGCCUGGGAAACUUGGCUGAUCUGCACAGAAAUAAGCGAAUCCAGGUCAGUUAGCCACAGUGCGAGAUCAGGUCAAAGGACAAACAGAUGGAAAAGGGGUGUAAGUGAUAGAGGAGCUGAACAUGGCUCGAGCUGAAGUGCUCAGGGAAUUAAUUCAGGGGACAAGAGGAUAAAGGUGAAGCUCAAGCACAUGGUUGCCCCUGAGAUGUUUUAGACUUUUUUCCCUGUGCGUGGACUAGUUUGGACACAGAAACACCCUCAGUGCUGGGACAAGCAUCGUCUGGCCUGGCCAUGAGUUUAUCACUGACUCAACUGGACUGAAGGGAAGCUCCUGAUUUACAUGAAGAAAGAAACCUGGGUUGGAUGGUGGCAUAGCAUCCCCUUUCUCCUGGCAGGAGACGUUUGGCCUGUCUUUACAGGACGAAUGAUACUCUCCAUCUCCAAAUAAGGAUAGUUUCAUGCUUAAAAUCCCUUUGCAGACAUAUGGAUAGAUAGCUACAAAGCUACAUACACAAACUGAGACAACAGCAGGACCUUGAUUUACAUCUGCAAGGCCAGAAGUUGUCUCCAGCCUUGACUCUUGCCCACACCUCCAGCACCAUCACAGGGCCUGCAUGCGGCCCCACUGCACAGUGCACGGGGCACUGCUGUCAGGCUAUGACAGGCAUCAGAGUUACUGCUGCCCUGCUUGCGUCUUGGCAGAUGACAGGAUCCCAGCACACCAUUAGCAGGGGGCAAAUGCAGAAGUCCUUAGGCUAAAUCUUACCGUUGCUCUCAGUAAUUGCCUUUUAAGCAACAGGGAGAUUGAAGGACAAAGAAAGGUCUUGUACCACCAGAAUGAACAUUUUCUGACAGUCAACUUUUCUGACCGUAAAUCAGGAGCAUCGAGACCCUCAAUAGACAUGACUCUGCUAGUACUAACAGCAAUGCAGCCUCUUAUUCAGAGGGCACUCUCCUUAAUGUUGUAGCUCACAUGGUUAAAUAAACAGAUCACGCUAGCUUAUAUUUUCUUUCCACACAAAUGGUAUUAGAAAACAUCCCUGUAUAUAAAAUCUCUAAAUACGCACUGGAUUAGUUAUUUGAUACGCAAUAAAUUAGGGUUUUUUUUUUGUGCAACACUCCCAACGGGAAGCAAAGUACGUGUACUGACUAAAACAACGCUAUUCCUCGCUUAAACAGAGCAACGCAUCCUGUUGUCGAGAAGAGUAAGCUUUGAUUGGACAGGACUGUUAUUGCAGCUUCAACUCAUUCAAAAGCAAAAGUACUUUUUAUUCACUUCUAGGCAGCAACUGUUGGCAUAUUUCCU